RNAcentral lists this ribosomal RNA (466 nucleotides) under uncultured Klebsiella sp. RNAcentral describes it as "bacterial SSU rRNA". It matches the Rfam family "Bacterial small subunit ribosomal RNA", at positions 338 to 795 of the family's 1533-position model. The record is from RNAcentral. Lineage: Bacteria; Pseudomonadati; Pseudomonadota; Gammaproteobacteria; Enterobacterales; Enterobacteriaceae.
CCUACGGGUGGCAGCAGUGGGGAAUAUUGCACAAUGGGCGCAAGCCUGAUGCAGCCAUGCCGCGUGUGUGAAGAAGGCCUUCGGGUUGUAAAGCACUUUCAGCGGGGAGGAAGGCGGUGAGGUUAAUAACCUCAUCGAUUGACGUUACCCGCAGAAGAAGCACCGGCUGAACUCCGUGCCAGCAGCCGCGGUAAUACGGAGGGUGCAAGCGUUAAUCGGAAUUACUGGGCGUAAAGCGCACGCAGGCUGUCUGUCAAGUCGGAUGUGAAAUCCCCGGGCUCAACCUGGGAACUGCAUUCGAAACUGGCAGGCUAGAGUCUUGUAGAGGGGGGUAGAAUUCCAGGUGUAGCGGUGAAAUGCGUAGAGAUCUGGAGGAAUACCGGUGGCGAAGGCGGCCCCCUGGACAAAGACUGACGCUCAGGUGCGAAAGCGUGGGGAGCAAACAGGAUUAGAUACCCGUGUAGUC